GACGAACGCUGGCGGCGUGCCUAAUACAUGCAAGUAGAACGCACAGUUUAUACCGUAGCUUGCUACACCAUAGACUGUGAGUUGCGAACGGGUGAGUAACGCGUAGGUAACCUGCCUGGUAGCGGGGGAUAACUAUUGGAAACGAUAGCUAAUACCGCAUAAUAUUGAUUAUUGCAUGAUAAUUGAUUGAAAGAUGCUAUUGCAUCACUACCAGAUGGACCUGCGUUGUAUUAGCUAGUAGGUGAGGUAACGGCACACCUAGGCGACGAGACAUAGCCGACCGGGGACGGGAAUCGGACACACAGGGACUGAGACACGGCACAGACUCCUACGGGAGGCAGCAGAAGGGAAACUUCGGCAAGGGAGGGAAGACUGACCGAGCAACGCCGCGGGAGUGAAGAAGGUUUUCGGAUCGUAAAGCUCUGUUGUAAGAGAAGAACGGGUGUGAGAGUGGAAAGUUCACACUGUGACGGUAUCUUACCAGAAAGGGACGGCUAACUACGUG
RNAcentral lists this ribosomal RNA (505 nucleotides) under uncultured bacterium. Its description in RNAcentral is "partial 16S ribosomal RNA". It matches the Rfam family "Bacterial small subunit ribosomal RNA", at positions 28 to 507 of the family's 1533-position model. The record is from RNAcentral.